Xylaria venustula is the source of this 131-nucleotide non-coding RNA. Lineage: Eukaryota; Fungi; Ascomycota; Sordariomycetes; Xylariales; Xylariaceae. The record is from the annotation of a GenBank genome assembly.
GGUUGGUUAGCUCAGUUGGUUAGAGCGUCGUACGUUGCGCUUGACAUUCCUUUGCUUAAUUAACAAUAAAAACUAACCUGCCCUAGGUACUAAUAAUGCGAAGGUCAUGAGUUCGACCCUCAUACUGACCA